AAAAAAAACCAACCGGCCGCCAGGCACUCUCUCUCUCUCUCUCUCGUCUCAUUGACUCCUCCAUCUCUCUUCUCCGACGCGUUUUAGGGUUUGUUUUCCUUGUUCGGUUUUGUAUCUGAAUUUUCAGAAAUUUCCCAAUUCGUUACGCUUUUGGAAUUCUUAUCUCUUUAGGAAAGUUCUCUGCUUUUCGAUUUCCUUCCGUUAUUAGGGUUUCGGCUAUGUCUUUACUGUAAAAGCCUUUCCUCUUGCCCUCUUUUCGUAGAUUCUAGGGUUUGGGUUCAAGAUCCUGCGAUCUUUCUAGUGGAAUUCUAGGGUUUUCUGAUUUUGUUCGAAAGGAUUUUAUUUUAUUUUUUUUCAAUUUCGUUUUGGGGAUGCUGAGAUGGUGAGUUCCGAGGGAUUGAGUGCUCCGCUGUCGCUUCCUCAAGUGGCAGCGAGGCAGUACGGAGUGACAAAGCCAAUAUCGACUGCCGGGCCGACGGAAGUCGAUAUUCUGAGGACAUUAGAGUUGGAGAAGUUUUUGGUUGAUGCUGGGCUUUAUGAAACCAAAGAAGGAGUUGCCAAGAGAGAGGAGGUUCUUCGGCGUAUCGAGCAGAUUGUCAAGGAUUGGGUGAAGCAACUUACUCGCUUGAGAGGGUACACAGAUCAAAUGGUUGAGGACGCUAAUGCUCGUAUUUUUACAUUUGGGUCCUAUAGGCUCGGGGUGCAUGGUCCUGGGGCUGACAUAGACACGUUAUGUGUUGGGCCAUCCUAUGUCAAUCGAGAGGAAGACUUCUUCUUUGUAUUGCACAACAUUCUUGCUGAGAUGGAAGAGGUGACCGAGCUGCAACCAGUUCCAGAUGCUCAUGUCCCUGUAAUGAAAUUUAAGUUUGACGGAAUAUCGAUCGACCUCCUUUAUGCUAGUAUUUCUCUCUUGGUUGUACCAGAAGACCUGGACAUUUCUGAUGUAUCUUUGUUGUACAAUAUCGAUGAGCCUACUGUUCGAAGUCUUAAUGGCUGCAGGGUCGCAGAUCAAAUUUUAAAGCUUGUUCCAAAUGUUGAGCACUUUUGCACAACACUCAGAUGCUUGAAAUUUUGGGCGAAAAGACGCGGUGUUUAUUCCAAUGUUACUGGAUUUCUUGGCGGAGUAAACUGGGCUCUUCUUGUUGCCCGGGUUUGCCAACUUUAUCCCAAUGCAGUUCCCAGCAUGCUUGUUUCUCGAUUCUUUAGGGUCUAUACACAGUGGCGGUGGCCAAAUCCUGUCAUGUUGUGUCCCAUUGAAGAGGAUGAACUUGGCUUUUCUGUUUGGGACCCUCGCAGAUAUCCUCGUGACCGGACUCAUCAUAUGCCAAUUAUAACUCCUGCAUACCCUUGUAUGAAUUCUAGCUAUAAUGUUUCACAAAGUACUCUGCGUGUUAUGGUCGAGCAGUUCUGUUACGGAAACAAGACCUGUGAGGAAGUGGAAUUGAAUAGAGCUCAAUGGUGUGCAUUGUUUGAGCCGUACAUGUUCUUUGAAAGCUACAAAAACUAUCUCCAGGUUGACAUAAUUGCUGCUGAUGUUGACGACUUGCGUGCUUGGAAAGGCUGGGUGGAAUCUCGACUGAGGCAACUAACUCUAAUGAUUGAACGGGAUACUUUAGGGAUGUUACAGUGCCAUCCUUGUCCACAUGAGUAUGUUGAUACGAAUAAAGAAUGCGCACAUUGUGCAUUUUUUAUGGGUUUGCAGAGGAAACAGGGUGAAAAGGUUCAGGGUCAGCAGUUUGAUAUACGAGGGACUGUUGAUGGGUUCAGGCAUUCCAUUAAUAUGUACAUGUUUUGGAAACCAGGGAUGGAAAUUCAUGUAUCUCAUGUUCGUAGAAGGCAACUUCCUCCUUAUGUGUAUCCUGAUGGUUGUAAACGACCUCGACAAUCCAGAGUUAUGGUCCAGCAGCAGGCUGAUGAUGGCGAAGCUUGUGGGAGUGGUUCUAGUGAGAGACACCUGAAGAGGAAGGAUCUUGAUGGGGUGGAGGUGAAUCAAGAUACUCCACCGCAGAAAUGGCAAUCUACUAGCCCUCUGCCCCAUGGUUCGGUUUCUCCUGUAAUUAUCAAUCACAAGGCAGGCAGUGCAUCUCCAGAGCCUUCGGAUAAAGGUUUUAGCAUGGAAGUAGUAGAGUCAAAUAAAAUAACACUGUCUGGUGAAAUGGAGCCUGGAUAUGCCUCCAAUUCCAGUACUAUUACAAAUGUUUCAAGCAAGGGCAGUUGUGAUGAUGCUGGAUUUGGAUCAGUGGCUGGUAGCUGUGAGGGGAACACUAGGAGCGUUGAGGGAAGCAGUGUUGGGACAACCCAGGAUAUUUGCUGGGUGAUGUGUGUGAGGCAGACUCCGAAGCUCUUUCGGAUAGUGGAUGCGUAAAUGGAAACCUACGUAAAAAGGUGAAUGCUGCACUUGGGAUGGUUGGUACUAAAUUCCAACGAGGGAUAACUCAGAACAAAUAACAGGGUUGGGGUUGAGCCUAACAUCAAUGGCCUGAGCAUGUUGGAUCUUUGUGGAUUUUUCUGAAAUUAAGGAGCUUCAAUUAAUGAGAGGACGAAAGCCAGCAGCUCGGGUAAGUGUUCUUUUUAUUGCUGGCUUUCAUUUCGUUCUUUACCAGGCAUGCUCGUCUAUACAACCUUGUGGUCAAAGCCAAGAGAUUCGAACGGGAAGUUUGUCUUUUUGUACAAUUUACUUCUUUAGCAUUUAUGAAUUAUGCUUAUCUGCUCAACUUUUGAGCUUUGGAAGAGUCUUAAGAGAAUUUAUUCAAUUGCUCGCUGAACUUCUGCAGAUAGGCAUUAGUUUUUUACUUUUAGUCGUCUGGGCGGGUGUGGCCAAAGGUUUUUACACUUCGUAGGUACACUGGAUCUAGGGAAAAAAAAAAAAAAAAACCAAAAAAAUUGAAAAAGGAAAAAGAGUUCGCUAUGUAAGGUGCUCAAUGUGCACUGGCCUUUGUGUUCUGAGUUUGAGUGGGACCACUGUUGAGGUUUGUCUGAUCUUCAAUGUUUGUACAUUCUAUCCUAUGUAAUGAAUAUUGAAAAUGUCUCCGUCUCCA
Non-coding RNA from Malus domestica (apple), 3038 nucleotides. Lineage: Eukaryota; Viridiplantae; Streptophyta; Magnoliopsida; Rosales; Rosaceae. The record is from RefSeq and is a predicted model, not a curated record.